This 6134-nucleotide long non-coding RNA is filed under the name Homo sapiens (human). Its description in RNAcentral is "HSALNT0289843". The record is from RNAcentral. Lineage: Eukaryota; Metazoa; Chordata; Mammalia; Primates; Hominidae.
CGGAACUGGCCCUUUAAGAAAACAUUCCGUGUUCGGCGCUCCCGCCCGGGGCCCGCACCCCGGACACUUUAAAAGGACCCAGGUGGCCCCGGAGGCGAGGUGACUAUCCCCCCACCCUGCCCCUGCGUCGCGGCGCGUCGCGCUGCUGCUCCCGCCCCAGCCGGGGCCGAAGAUGGGGCGGCGGCUGCGGUUUUCCACACGACUUCCUUGGAUCUCGGGGCACACGCGCCGAUAGUUCGGACGCGAGUCCGGGCUGGUUUUGCUCCGUUUUACUGCGUUUGAUUACUAAUUUAAAAGCUUUGCGUUCCCCGUCGCCCCGGCCCGCUUUUCUCCUGCAUUCUCCCCUCGGCCCCCGUCCCCGCCCUGCGAUCGCUGGAGGGGGCGUCGGGGCUCGCGCGCCAGAACCCGGCUCCUCCGAAGCCCCCUCCGGGCCCCACCGCCCCCCUCGCGCCUCCCGGCCCCCGCCUCCUCCCCUUCGCCCCCACCCAACGGCUGCUGCUUCGGGCUUCGCGGCUCAAAAACAACAGCGGAGGCGCCGCCAGCUCCGCGCUCCGCCACUGCCCAGGCCGGCGGGCGGCACUCGGACCCGCCGCCCUCGGUCCCUCGCGAGGCCACGGAGGCCAACACGCCUCGCACGGGGGGACAGCGCGGGGGCAGCCGUCCAAACACCAGGCGUCCUCGGCUGGUCGUCCCAGGGCGCCCGCACCUCUCCGCCCGCGCUCUCCUGCCGCCGCGCCCCCAAGCCCCCAAACUCCGAGGCGCUGCGGCGGAGGGGCCGGGCUGAGCGCAGGCAGGGUGGCCCGGGCCCAGGAGCCUGACGGCCUGAGUGCGGAUUUCUCAUCUGAGUAUCUGGGAAUCGAGAAUGAAUUGGAAGGAAACCGAGGCGCUGCCCUGGCCAGGUUGCUGCCCCGCACCCUUCCGGAGCACCGAAGUCCUGCCCGGCAACGGGACUUGGAGCUGCCGCAGAGUCAGCCUGAGCCCGAGGCAGGGGUCGCGCCCGCGAUGCGGGGUCUCUGCGCCGCCCCGCGAGGCUCCUGGCCUUGCCCUCCCUGCCCUUUGUUGUGUAAUAAGACCUGUGGCGGCUCCACUGAGACCCACACGUGCAACUCCGCGCCUCCGCGUUAAAGGAGGUGAAACGCAGCAGCCCUGAGAAACCCCGAGACCCCGGUGUCCUAGCAGAGGCGCCCCGGAUGGGGAGGGGCGCGGGGCCGGCGCCACCCCAGAGGAAAAGCCCAGCGGAGCCGGGUUGGGCAGGAGCUGGCGGCGGCGGUGCGCUGGGCCUUCUGCCUUGGAUCCUCCGCGGUCGGCACCGCUUCCCUGCUCAGAUUCGAACCCAGAUUCGGCUCCCAAGGCUCCCACGGCUCCAGGGUGCCCAGUCUUGCAGCCAGCUCGCCGCCCGAGCCCCGGAUGGAGGAAGCGCUCACUGGCCGCUACCUCUGCUGUUUCUGGCACCAGGAGGCGCUGCAAGGCUCCGUGCUCCUGGAGCUUCGAGUCUAUGGUAUGAGUUAAACAGAAGGGUAUCUCCUCCAUCAGAUCUACAGGAGGGUGUCUGCUCCAUCAGACCUGGAGCUUCCAAGGCAUUUUACCCGAAGCUCCAGCACCUGGCCCAAGGCUGGGCUGUGCUGUGUCCUCAGUGAAAGAAUGGAUGAGUCACAGCUGAAUGACUGAAGAGCUGAACCAAUGGGAAAACUGAUGCUCAGAGGCUUGAGCAACCUAGGCCAGGACCUGUCCUUAGAGGCAGAAGCAGGACUCAGAGGAAGAGCACCCUGACCACAAAGCCCCAGGGUCCAGAAAGACUCAGCCACUGGAGUCUGUAUUUCCUGAGUCGCCUCUCACUGCUGGAGCUGUUUAUCAUCGCUCCAACUUUCACUAAAAAGGAAAAACUAUCACUUAAACAAAGCCAUUGAAACCCCAGCAUCAUGUGUGGAUUUUUUAACAUAAAUAAAUCAUACAAACUAAGAUUUAUGUUCUUGGAAUGAUGUCAUUCAUUGAAGGCUGCCUUCCCAAUCAAAGCCGUGUUUAGUGAUUUUUCUUUAGUGGGUGUGCUUUUUGCUAAAUAGGAAAAACCCGUUCGGUCAUCCUUGCUGCUGUCUUUUCUCGGUUUGGCCCAGAACAUCAGAAAGGUUUCUCCCUGGGCCAGUCCACAGAGCCAAAUGGUGAAAAUGGUUUUAACUCCACAGACUGCUUUUAAAGCCUUUGCUUUGGAACCGUUAAGUCUGAGAUCAAAAGACUGUUAAACCUUCCCUAAGAAUGUGUGCAGGCCUCAGCAGAAGUUUAUGGUCCUCCCAGGUCUCCCAGAGCCUAGAAUGAAUCUCGCUGCAGAGUAACGCAUCUGCAGAAGCUUCACCAAAUUGAAAUGAGUGAGGAGCAUUAAAAUCAGCACACGUGGAUAAAUAACAGGUGGCAUAUCCAUGCAAUGGAAUACUAUGUCGCCAUGAAAAGGAAUGAAGAGCUGACGCUUGUUACAGCAUGAAUGAACCUGGAAAACAUGACGCUCCGUGAAAGAAGUCAGUCAUAAAAGGUCACGCUUUGUGUGAUUCCAUUUAUACGAGAUGUCCAGGAUGGGCCAAUCCAUAGAGACUGAAGACAUAUUAGUGGUUGCCUGGCUGUAGAAGUAGAGGCAGUAGUACUCUGGGCCAAUGAAGGCCCUGGGAACAGAUGGGCCACACCAGAGUCCAGCUUCAGCCCUCCAGGCAUUGAAAGGAGACCAUUAGCUGGAAGCCAGUGGGAAGUCGGGCUGACUAAUAGGGACAGGUGUCCAGGAGGCUGCAGUGUGAGGCUUUCAUUUGUUCAAGCAACACACAUUCACUGCACUCUUACCGUGUGCCAGGGACAGCCAUAGGCCCUGAGACUACAGCAGUGAUGGAGACAGACGCUGCUCCCAUCAAGGUCAUGUUUUGAUGGGGAAAGCAGCAAUAAGCCAAAUACAUAUGGGUCUGGGGUGCCAGGCUAGACGAUUCUAGUGCAAUGGACAUGAAAGAGGAGAGAGGUGAAGGCACAGUCUUCAAUCGGUUGUUCAAGAAAGGCCUCACUGAAGUGGUGACAUUUGGGCAGAGACGUCAGGGAGGGAUGAGGGAGCCACCCAAGUGUCUGGGAGAACAGCACUGGGGCAGAUGGAACAGCCAGUGCAAAGGCCCUGAGGCUCCAGUGACCAGUGUGGCUGCUGCAGAAGGACGGGGAGGGGAGGAGGGGAAAACCGUGUAGAGUGGCAGUGGGAGGACAGAUUAAGGCUGCAGGUGGAAUUAAAGUUGCUCUUUCAGCUGACUUUAAAGUAGGGAGACGAUUCCAGAUUAUCUGGGUGGCCUUAAUGUCAUCACGAGGAUCCUUAAAAGUGGAAGAGGGAGGCAGGAGAGUCAGGAUUAGGAUGAAGUGGAGAUAUGUGAGAAUAUGAGGAAGAUUCCCCUGGCUGUGCUGGCUCUGAAGACAGAGGAAGGGCCCACGAACCAAGUUACGUGAAUACGGACAGACUCUAGAAGCUAAAAAAGGCAAGGAAAUGGAUUCUAGAGCCUCCAGCAAGGAAGGCAGCCCUAUGCAUGCCUUGACUUUAGGACACUGAGAUCCAUUUCGGACUUCUGACCCACAAAACCAAAAUCUAGUAAGUGUGUGCUAUUUGAAGCUGCUAAAUUUGUAGUAAUUUGUUACAGCAGCCACCAGAAAUUAAUAUGGGGAGGAAAUAGGGAUUUCAUCUGUCCAUAGUAAAGACAUGCCGGGGGUGAUAAGAAUCUGAGCCCAUCUCACCUAGAUGAGAACGAGAGAGUAAUGACCACAGAAUAGUGGUGAUGGCCAUCCUCACAUCUGGCUCCUUAGCCACCCAUGCCAGUAUGGACUGACUGCCUUCUACGUCUUGUCCAUGGCCAUUCUCUAGGGAAAUUCCCUUGCAUCUCCUGCUACCUUUACAGACUACAUAUUUUGUUGGAUUACUUUCUCAUUUUCAUGAAGCAUAUCUUCUAGUAACUUCUGAUAAAAGAUGCAUAGGAGAUAAAUAUUUUAGGACUUCCACAGUACCAGAAUGAUGGAUGAACUGGGUAUAGAAUUCCAGAUUGGAGAUGAUUUUUUUGUUCAGAAUUUUAGAGAAUAUUGCCCCAUUGUCUUCUUGCUACCAGGCAGCUAUUGAGAAGUCUAGGAAGAUUCUGUUUCCUCGGACUUUGUGUGCAGUGUGAUUUUUCCUUUUUGGAAUUUUAUAGAAUCUUCUUUGUCCCAAGUGGUCCCAUAUUCCACAAUGAUGUGCCCUAGAAUGUGUCUGUUUUUAUCCACUGUGAGUUCUUUCCAACUGAGAACUUGUGUCCAUUAGCUCUGGGAAAUUUUCUUGAAAUACUUUCUUAGUGAUUUCUACUCUCUGUUUUGUUUCUUCUUCAUUUUUGAAACUUGAUAUUUAUAUGAGCUUUCUUCUGCACAUAUAAUCUGUGUGUCCACCAAAUGGCUUUGCUCUGUUUGUUUCAAUCUGUCUUUCCUGAGGCAUCUGCUGAUUCUUGGCUUUCUGCCCAUGAUGAGGAGCUGACUGGAAGUUCUGACAGUAAGAGAGGAGGGGUUCAUUGCCCUUGAGACCCAUGAAUGGGAGUGAUCCUUGAUCCUUGGAUGUCAGUAUCUUUAGGAACUGACCUGAUUCCCAGAGAAGUUACCCAGGGAGCAAGGGAGGGUCUGGCUGCCAGUCUUCUUGGAGUCAACUUGGAGUUGAAGGCAGGGGUCUUUGCAGUCAGCUGCCUGAAUUCUGGGAAAUAAACCUCUGGACUUUUGCUGGUGUGGGGGAGGGGUGGUCGCUCAGGGAGGAUAAGGAGGGGAUAGGAAUCCCCCUUUACUAAGCCAUCCUGAUCGUAGCCGCUCUUGCACCCCAAGUCCUAGAGGUACCCUUUUUUUUUGACGGAGUUUCACUCUUAUUGCCCAGGCUGGAGUGCAAUGGUGCGAUCUUGACUCACUGCAGCCUCUGCCUCCUGGGUUCAAAAAUUCUUCUGCCUCAGCCUCUAGAGUAGAUGCGAUUACGGGUGCCCACCACCAGGCCUGGCUAAUUUUUUUUGUAUUUUUAGUAGAGACAGGGUUUCACCAUGUUGGUCAGGCUGGUCUUGAACUCCUGACCUCAGGUGAUCCGCCCACCUUGGCCUCCCAAAAUGCUGGGAUUAUAGGCGUGAGCCACCACGCCUGGCCCCUAGAGGUAAUCUUAUACUCAGUCUUGAGUGUUAGGAUUCCCCUUGGUUAUAAAUCUGGUAAAAUCUCACCUUCCUGCUCUCUAUUCAGGAUUUUCUCUUGUCUCUGAUCCAAUUGCCACAGGUCCAUCAGCAAUUCAGCUUUCAGAAGGGAGGCCCACCCUUAUGGGUAGAUGCCUUUUGAAAUCUCUUUAUUGUGGUUGAAGUGGGGCUUACAGAGGGGACGCUAUUGAAUGGGUGUGUGUUUAGUUUGCCAUCUUAACCCGAGGCUUUUGUGGCUAUUUUAGAAAGACUGUGUCCAUUCUUAGGUCUAGGCCCGAUACCACACACAGUGUCCACACACAGGGGCUCUGACCCCACAGGGUUCUUUGGGUCCUGAUCAAUGAUCUUUCAAGAGCCUCCCCCUUGACCUGCUUCUGGCCACAGAAACAGCUGAUAAAUGAAAUUUGUUAGUUUCCUACAAUGGAGUGUUGCAUCAGCAGUGAACAUAGUGACAAGAGUGCAUGCUUAUCACCACGCUGACAUGUCCCUGAGACAUGGGGGCGACCUUUAAGAAUGUCAGCUGAAAUAUUAACAGCGGUUUUCCCUGGGUGAUUAGAUCUGAUAAUAUUAAAACUUUUUUCUCUGUUAUGUUUCUCUGCAUUUAAUUUUUCUCCACUGACUGUAUAUUAGUGGUGGAAGUGUUACAAUGUUUAAAAAUAAGAACAUCAAAAAAUUAGCCCAGGGUGGUGGUGGCAUGUUCCUGUGGUCCCAGCUACUCAGGAGGCUGAGGCAGGAGGAUCUCCUGAGCGCAGGAGGUAGAGGUUGCAGUGAGCCAAGAUCUCACCACUGCACCCCAGCCUGGGUGACAGAGUGAGAUCCUGUCUCAAAAAAUAAAAAUAAAAAUGAGAAGAAAAUCCUAUCUGUCCUUCAAUAACCAGCUCAGCCACUGCUACCUCCCGGGAGUCUCCCGUAUUCCCACUGUUGGGAAUGCUUCCUGCACCACAUUAAAUAAAC